UACGUAGGGUGCGAGCGUUGUCCGGAAUUAUUGGGCGUAAAGAGCUCGUAGGCGGUUUGUCGCGUCGGCCGUGAAAACUUGGGGCUUAACCCCAAGCCUGCGGUCGAUACGGGCAGACUUGAGUUCGGCAGGGGAGACUGGAAUUCCUGGUGUAGCGGUGAAAUGCGCAGAUAUCAGGAGGAACACCGGUGGCGAAGGCGGGUCUCUGGGCCGAUACUGACGCUGAGGCGCGAAAGCUAGGGGAGCGAACGGG
RNAcentral lists this ribosomal RNA (253 nucleotides) under uncultured bacterium. RNAcentral describes it as "partial 16S ribosomal RNA". It matches the Rfam family "Bacterial small subunit ribosomal RNA", at positions 524 to 776 of the family's 1533-position model. The record is from RNAcentral.